RNAcentral lists this ribosomal RNA (681 nucleotides) under uncultured nitrite-oxidizing bacterium. RNAcentral's name for it is "bacterial SSU rRNA". It matches the Rfam family "Bacterial small subunit ribosomal RNA", at positions 21 to 696 of the family's 1533-position model. The record is from RNAcentral.
GGCUCAGGACGAACGCUGGCGGCGCGCCUAAUACAUGCAAGUCGAGCGAGAAGGUGUAGCAAUACACUUGUAAAGCGGCGAACGGGUGAGGAAUACAUGGGUAAUCUACCAUCGAGUGGGGAAUAACCAGCCGAAAGGUUGGCUAAUACCGCGUACGCCUCCGGAUCUUCGGGUUCGGAGGGAAAGCUGCACUGUGAGUGCGGCGCUCUUUGAUGAGCUCAUGUCCUAUCAGCUUGUUGGUAGGGUAACGGCCUACCAAGGCUUUGACGGGUAGCUGGUCUGAGAGGACGAUCAGCCACACUGGCACUGCGACACGGGCCAGACUCCUACGGGAGGCAGCAGUAAGGAAUAUUGCGCAAUGGGCGAAAGCCUGACGCAGCGACGCCGCGUGGGGGAUGAAGGUCUUCGGAUUGUAAACCCCUUUCGGGAGGGAAGAUGGAGCGAGCAAUCGUUCGGACGGUACCUCCAGAAGCAGCCACGGCCAACUUCGUGCCAGCAGCCGCGGUAAUACGAAGGUGGCAAGCGUUGUUCGGAUUCACUGGGCGUACAGGGUGUGUAGGCGGUUUGGUAAGCCUUCUGUUAAAGCUUCGGGCCCAACCCGGAAAGCGCAGAGGGUACUGCCAGGCUAGAGGGUGGGAGAGGAGCGCGGAAUUCCCGGUGUAGCGGUGAAAUGCGUAGAGA